GCCGGUUUAGCUCAAUGGUAGAGCGGCUGAUUUGUAAUCAGCAGGUUGUCCGUUCAAAUCGGGUAAUCGGCU
RNAcentral lists this transfer RNA (72 nucleotides) under Hemiarma marina. RNAcentral describes it as "tRNA-Thr". It matches the Rfam family "tRNA". Rfam says of the family: Transfer RNA (tRNA) molecules are approximately 80 nucleotides in length. Their secondary structure includes four short double-helical elements and three loops (D, anti-codon, and T loops). The record is from RNAcentral. Lineage: Eukaryota; Cryptophyceae; Goniomonadida; Goniomonadaceae.